GAUGAACGCUGGCGGCGUGCCUAAUACAUGCAAGUCGAGCGAACAGACGAGGAGCUUGCUCCUCCGACGUUAGCGGCGGACGGGAGAGUAACACGUGGAUAACCUACCUAUAAGACUGGGAUAACUUCGGGAAACCGGAGCUAAUACCGGAUAAUAUAUUGAACCGCAUGGUUCAAUAGUGAAAGACGGUUUUGCCGUCACUUAUAGAUGGAUCCGCGCCGCAUUAGCUAGUUGGUAAGGUAACGGCUUACCAAGGCAACGAUGCGUAGCCGACCUGAAAGGGUGAUCCGCCACCCUGGAACUGAGACACGGUCCCGACUCCUGCGGGAGGCAGCAGUAGGGAAUCUUCCGCGAUGGGCGAGAGGCUGACGGAGCAACGCCGCGUGAGUGAUGAAGGUCUUCGGAUCGUAGAACUCUGUUAUUAGGGAAGUUCAAAUGUGUAAUUAACUAUGCACGUCUUGACGGUACCUAAUCAGAAAGCCCCGGCUAACUCCGUG
RNAcentral lists this ribosomal RNA (497 nucleotides) under uncultured bacterium. Its description in RNAcentral is "partial 16S ribosomal RNA". It matches the Rfam family "Bacterial small subunit ribosomal RNA", at positions 28 to 507 of the family's 1533-position model. The record is from RNAcentral.